GGUUAAGCGACUAAGCGUACACGGUGGAUGCCCUGGCAGUCAGAGGCGAUGAAGGACGUGCUAAUCUGCGAAAAGCGCCGGCGAGGUGAUAUGAACCUUUGACCCGGCGAUGUCCGAAUGGGGAAACCCAGUGCAAUUCGUUGCACUAUCGUUAACUGAAUACAUAGGUUAACGAGGCGAACCGGGGGAACUGAAACAUCUAAGUACCCCGAGGAAAAGAAAUCAACCGAGAUUCCCCCAGUAGCGGCGAGCGAACGGGGAGCAGCCCGGAGUCUGAAUCAGCUUGUGUGUUAGUGGAACGGUCUGGAAAGUCCGACGGUACAGGGUGAUAGUCCCGUACACGAAAGCACACAUGCUGUGAACUCGAAGAGUAGGGCGGGACACGUGGUAUCCUGUCUGAAUAUGGGGGGACCAUCCUCCAAGGCUAAAUACUCCUGACUGACCGAUAGUGAACCAGUACCGUGAGGGAAAGGCGAAAAGAACCCCGGCGAGGGGAGUGAAAAAGAACCUGAAACCGUGUACGUACAAGCAGUGGGAGCCUCUUUAUGGGGUGACUGCGUACCUUUUGUAUAAUGGGUCAGCGACUUAUAUUCUGUAGCAAGGUUAACCGUAUAGGGGAGCCGAAGGGAAACCGAGUCUUAACUGGGCGUUAAGUUGCAGGGUAUAGACCCGAAACCCGGUGAUCUAGCCAUGGGCAGGUUGAAGGUUGGGUAACACUAACUGGAGGACCGAACCGACUAAUGUUGAAAAAUUAGCGGAUGACCUGUGGCUGGGGGUGAAAGGCCAAUCAAACCGGGAGAUAGCUGGUUCUCCCCGAAAGCUAUUUAGGUAGCGCCUCGUGAACUCAUCUUCGGGGGUAGAGCACUGUUUCGGCUAGGGGGCCAUCCCGGCUUACCAACCCGAUGCAAACUACGAAUACCGAAGAAUGUUAUCACGGGAGACACACGGCGGGUGCUAACGUCCGUCGUGAAGAGGGAAACAACCCAGACCGCCAGCUAAGGUCCCAAAGUCAUGGUUAAGUGGGAAACGAUGUGGGAAGGCACAGACAGCCAGGAUGUUGGCUUAGAAGCAGCCAUCAUUUAAAGAAAGCGUAAUAGCUCACUGGUCGAGUCGGCCUGCGCGGAAGAUGUAACGGGGCUAAACCAUGCACCGAAGCUGCGGCAGCGACGCUUAUGCGUUGUUGGGUAGGGGAGCGUUCUGUAAGCCGUUGAAGGUGGCCUGUGAGGGUUGCUGGAGGUAUCAGAAGUGCGAAUGCUGACAUAAGUAACGAUAAAGCGGGUGAAAAGCCCGCUCGCCGGAAGACCAAGGGUUCCUGUCCAACGUUAAUCGGGGCAGGGUGAGUCGACCCCUAAGGCGAGGCCGAAAGGCGUAGUCGAUGGGAAACAGGUUAAUAUUCCUGUACUUGGUGUUACUGCGAAGGGGGGACGGAGAAGGCUAUGUCAGCCGGGCGACGGUUGUCCCGGUUUAAGCAUGUAGGCGGAGGUUCCAGGUAAAUCCGGUACCUUGUUAACGCUGAGGUGUGAUGACGAGGCACUACGGUGCUGAAGUGAUAAAUGCCCUGCUUCCAGGAAAAGCCUCUAAGCAUCAGGUAACACGAAAUCGUACCCCAAACCGACACAGGUGGUCAGGUAGAGAAUACCAAGGCGCUUGAGAGAACUCGGGUGAAGGAACUAGGCAAAAUGGUGCCGUAACUUCGGGAGAAGGCACGCUGAUAUGUAGGUGAAGCCCCUGCGGGCGGAGCUGAAAUCAGUCGAAGAUACCAGCUGGCUGCAACUGUUUAUUAAAAACACAGCACUGUGCAAACACGAAAGUGGACGUAUACGGUGUGACGCCUGCCCGGUGCCGGAAGGUUAAUUGAUGGGGUUAGCUGUAAGGCGAAGCUCUUGAUCGAAGCCCCGGUAAACGGCGGCCGUAACUAUAACGGUCCUAAGGUAGCGAAAUUCCUUGUCGGGUAAGUUCCGACCUGCACGAAUGGCGUAAUGAUGGCCAGGCUGUCUCCACCCGAGACUCAGUGAAAUUGAACUCGCUGUGAAGAUGCAGUGUACCCGCGGCAAGACGGAAAGACCCCGUGAACCUUUACUAUAGCUUGACACUGAACACUGGUCCUUGAUGUGUAGGAUAGGUGGGAGGCUUUGAAGCGUGGACGCCAGUCUGCGUGGAGCCAACCUUGAAAUACCACCCUUUAAUGGCUGGUGUUCUAACGUAGACCCGUAAUCCGGGUUGCGGACAGUGUCUGGUGGGUAGUUUGACUGGGGCGGUCUCCUCCCAAAGAGUAACGGAGGAGCACGAAGGUUGGCUAAUCCUGGUCGGACAUCAGGAGGUUAGUGCAAUGGCAUAAGCCAGCUUGACUGCGAGCGUGACGGCGCGAGCAGGUGCGAAAGCAGGUCAUAGUGAUCCGGUGGUUCUGAAUGGAAGGGCCAUCGCUCAACGGAUAAAAGGUACUCCGGGGAUAACAGGCUGAUACCGCCCAAGAGUUCAUAUCGACGGCGGUGUUUGGCACCUCGAUGUCGGCUCAUCACAUCCUGGGGCUGAAGUAGGUCCCAAGGGUAUGGCUGUUCGCCAUUUAAAGUGGUACGCGAGCUGGGUUUAGAACGUCGUGAGACAGUUCGGUCCCUAUCUGCCGUGGGCGCUGGAGAAUUGAGGGGGGCUGCUCCUAGUACGAGAGGACCGGAGUGGACGCAUCACUGGUGUUCGGGUUGUCAUGCCAAUGGCACUGCCCGGUAGCUAAAUGCGGAAGAGAUAAGUGCUGAAAGCAUCUAAGCACGAAACUUGCCCCGAGAUGAGUUCUCCCUGAGACUUUAAGUCUCCUGAAGGAACGUUGAAGACGACGACGUUGAUAGGUCGGGUGUGUAAGCGCAGCGAUGCGUUGAGCUAACCGAUACUAAUGAACCGUGAGGCUUAACCUU
Molecule: ribosomal RNA, 2906 nt
Filed under: Enterobacter hormaechei
Lineage: Bacteria; Pseudomonadati; Pseudomonadota; Gammaproteobacteria; Enterobacterales; Enterobacteriaceae
Description: 23S ribosomal RNA
Rfam family: Bacterial large subunit ribosomal RNA
Source: RNAcentral